This 253-nucleotide ribosomal RNA is filed under the name uncultured bacterium. Its description in RNAcentral is "partial 16S ribosomal RNA". It matches the Rfam family "Bacterial small subunit ribosomal RNA", at positions 524 to 776 of the family's 1533-position model. The record is from RNAcentral.
UACGAAGGGGGCUAGCGUUGCUCGGAAUGACUGGGCGUAAAGGGCGCGUAGGCGGUUUGCACAGUCAGGCGUGAAAUUCCUGGGCUUAACCUGGGGGCUGCGCUUGAUACGUGUGGACUGGAGUGCGGAAGAGGGUCGUGGAAUUCCCAGUGUAGAGGUGAAAUUCGUAGAUAUUGGGAAGAACACCCGUGGCGAAGGCGGCUCUCUGGGAUGGUACUGACGCUGAGACGCGAAAGCGUGGGGAGCGAACAGG